RNA transcript from Vitis vinifera (wine grape), 5930 nucleotides. It is a transcript of the gene named histone H3-lysine(4) N-trimethyltransferase ATX1, with no coding region annotated. The transcript has 27 exons. NCBI's taxonomy places the organism in Eukaryota, Viridiplantae, Streptophyta, Magnoliopsida, Vitales, Vitaceae. The record is from RefSeq and is a predicted model, not a curated record.
AACAUCAAUCCUGCUUCCCAGCGGCGGGAAACGGAUUAUUUUGGGCCAAAACCAUCCCUCCAAAAGAUUCGUCCCCCCUUUGCCCUUCUUAAAACCCUAUUGCUCAGAAAUAAAAUCUAGAAAAAAGUAUUAAAGGAAAUUAAAAAUAAAAAACAAAGACGCCUGUGCAGCUCCGAAGGAGAAAUCCCGAAUCUCCCAUUGUCCUCUUCCAUUCUUCCUUUUUCUUUGAUGGCAUUUCCUCUGAAGGAAGAAGAAGAGGAGGUCGACUCCGGCACCGGCACUCCCGUCCGCUACCUUCCUCUUCGCCACGUCUAUUCCACUUCUGCGCCUUGCGUCAGUGCCAGUGGAUCGUCUAACGUCGUCACCAAGAAGGUCAAGGCCAGGAGGAUGAUCGCCGACGGCUUUGACGGCGAGGGCGACGGCGUCGAUCAGAAGCCGUACCCGGCUAAGCCUCCGGUCGUGCACGUGUACGCCCGGCGCCGCAAGAGGCCGCGCAAUUUGACAGCGGAGCGACCGGAGUCGGGGGCUUUGGUGGCUGUGAAGGAGGAGAGGUGUGAAUCGGAUGGUUGCGAAGGGGUUGGUGGUGGAGAUCGAGGCGUAGGGGUUUUGGGGAAGAAGAGGAGAAGUGCGAAUUUGGAGGUGAAAAACUUGGGCGAUAAUUCGAGGGGAGUGGGCAGUUCAGUACGGCGUCGUUUGAGGGAAGCCAGGAAAGACAGCACUGUCGACCUUCCGCAUAGAAGAAAGCGCAAAUCUUCGGAGAAUUUGACGAAAGUCGACUCUAAUUCGGCUUGCAUCAAGCGGUGGCUUUGGUUGAAUUUUGAUGACGUUGAUCCUGAAAAAUUCAUAGGAUUACAAUGCAAGGUUUACUGGCCGUUGGAUGGUGAAUGGUACCGUGGUUGCAUUAUUGGGUAUGAUUUGGAGGCCAACCGGCAUCAGGUUAAAUACAAUGAUGGUGAUAAAGAAGAAUUGAUUCUCUCAAGUGAGAAAAUUAAAUUUUAUGUAUCUCGCGAGGAUAUGCAACAUUUGAACCUGAGUCUUAGUGUUAGAAGUCUGGAUAGUGAUGACAUUGAUUAUGAUGAGAUGGUUGUGUUGGCUGCAAGUUGGAAUGAUUGCCAAGACCACGAGCCUGGGGAUAUCAUAUGGGCCAAGCUUACUGGUCAUGCUAUGUGGCCAGCAAUUGUUGUGGAUGAGUCAAUUAUUCAUAAUCGUAAAGGUCUAAACAAAAUUUCAAAAGAGAAAUCACUUCCUGUGCAGUUUUUUGGUAGUCAUGAUUUUGCAAGGGUUAAAACUAAACAGGUUACCCCAUUUCUUAAGGGACUGCUUUCUUCUUUCCACCUGAAGUGCACAAAACCACAUUUCCAUCAAAGCUUGGUAGAAUCCAAAGCGUAUCUCAGCGAACAGAAGCUUUCAAAACGGAUGUUACGGAUGCAAAAGCUCACAGAGGAUGAUGAUUGUGAAAGUAUGAGUGGAGAGGAUGAAAAGAGAACUGAUUCAGGUGAUGAUUGCAUAGGAGAUGAAAGAGUAAAGAGAAAACUAGACGACCUUAUAAAAUUCCCAUUUGAAAUAGGGGAUUUGCAAGUAAUACGCCUUGGAAAAAUUGUCAAGGACUCAGAUCGUUUCCAGGUUGAGGGAUUCAUCUGCCCUGAAGGAUAUACUGCUAUGAGAAAGUUUACUUCAAUUACAGAUCCAAGCUUAUGCGCAUUAUAUAAAAUGGAAGUGCUGAGAGAUGCUGAAUCAAAGAUUCAACCCUUAUUUAGGGUGACAUUGGACAAUGGAGAGCAGUUCCAAGGAUCAACUCCAUCUUCUUGCUGGAAUAAAAUUUUUAGAAGGAUAAGAAAGAUGCAAAACAGUGCUUCUGAUGGUUCUAGUGCAGAAGGUGGAGCUGAAAAAUUAAAUGAAUCCGGUUUUGAUAUGUUUGGCUUUUCCAAUCCUGAGAUUUUCAGACUUGUACAGGAGUUGUCAACUUCCAAAAUUUCCUCAAAAUUCUCCAUGUCCAAGUCAAUCUCUAGAAGAUAUCAAGACUUGUCUUCUGGUUACAGGCCUGUUCGUGUUGACUGGAAAGAUCUUGAUAAAUGCAGUGUUUGCCACAUGGAUGAGGAGUAUGAGAACAAUCUGUUUCUUCAGUGCGACAAAUGCAGAAUGAUGGUUCAUGCUAGAUGCUAUGGGGAAUUAGAACCUGUUGAUGGGGUGCUAUGGUUAUGCAAAUUAUGUGGCCCAGGGGCUCCUGAUUCCCCCCCUCCUUGCUGCCUCUGUCCUGUUACCGGUGGGGCCAUGAAGCCUACAACUGAUGGACGCUGGGCUCAUCUGGCUUGUGCCAUCUGGAUACCUGAAACUUGCUUAUCCGAUAUCAAAACCAUGGAGCCCAUUGAUGGACUGAGUAGAAUCAAUAAGGACCGAUGGAAGCUUCUAUGUAGCAUCUGUGGUGUUUCUUAUGGGGCUUGCAUCCAAUGUUCAAACAGUACUUGUCGUGUAGCUUAUCACCCACUUUGCGCACGUGCUGCGGGCCUUUGUGUUGAACUUGAGGAUGAGGAUAGACUCCAUCUGAUUUCUGUAGAGGAUGAUGAGGAUGAUCAGUGCAUUCGACUACUUUCCUUCUGCAAGAAGCAUAGACAGCCAUCUAAUGAGCGUACAGCUUUUGAUGAAAGGAUUGGGCAAGUGGCUCGUGAAUGUUCUAACUAUAACCCGCCUUCUAAUCCAUCAGGCUGUGCUCGCACUGAGCCUUAUAACCAUUUUGGGAGAAGGGGUCGGAAAGAACCUGAAGCCCUUGCUGCUGCAUCCUUGAAGCGGUUGUUUGUAGAUAAUAGGCCAUAUUUGGUUGGUGGUUACUGUCAACAUGAAUCCUUGGGGAAUCCAUUAUCUUCUAGUGCCCUCUCAGGUUCUAAAUUUUCCUUCAGAAAUCAAAAAAUAAAAGCUUCUCAGCUUGAUGCUCCUAAGAGCAUACUCUCUAUGGUUGAGAAAUAUAAUUACAUGAGGGAGACCUUCAGAAAGAGACUGGCUUUUGGAAAAUCAGGAAUACAUGGAUUUGGCAUAUUUGCGAAGCAGCCACAUAGAGCGGGAGAUAUGGUUAUUGAAUAUACAGGCGAACUUGUUAGACCCUCAAUAGCUGACAGGAGAGAACGACUCAUAUACAAUUCGUUGGUGGGUGCAGGGACUUAUAUGUUCCGUAUUGAUGAUGAACGCGUCAUUGAUGCCACAAGGGCAGGAAGCAUAGCUCAUUUGAUUAAUCACUCAUGUGAACCAAAUUGCUAUUCGAGAGUUAUAAGUUUUAAUGGUGAUGACCAUAUAAUUAUUUUUGCGAAGAGGGAUAUUAAGAGAUGGGAAGAACUGACUUACGAUUACAGAUUUUUUUCAAUUGAUGAACAACUAGCAUGUUAUUGUGGCUUCCCAAGAUGCCGUGGUGUGGUCAAUGACAUUGAUGCAGAGGAGCGAAUGGCAAAGCGAUAUGCGCCUCGCAGUGAAUUGAUAGGUUGGAUAGGGGAAUGAGAGGACCUUGGGAUAAAGAGAAUGAUUGGUUCAUAUGAUGAGAAGGAUGGGUUGUAUUAUUUGGAUCUUGGUGAACCUCCUUCCUCAGUAUUGAGUGUUACCGCCCCUCUUUUUAAUGACAUUUUGCUUAGGUUAUCCAUCUUUGGUGAAGUUGCACUUAGUUAUACUCAUGUGGGGAUAUGUGUUUAGUUAGAAUGUGAAGAUUGUCAGUUAGGUAAGCAUCGGCGUAUUUCUUUCCCAAUAAGUAGUCAUAGUCGAGGGUAUUAUUCAUCAAACUAGAUGUGCUCACACCUCUCAAUAAAAUGGAGUUGCUAAACAAAAGUGUCAUUAUUUAUUGGAUGUUGCUUGUACCCUAUUGUUUAAUAUGUAGGUGCUAAAACAUUUUUGGGCUGAUGUCUCACAAUUAGUGUUUAAAAAUUAAUUUUGUACAAACAAAAAUUUGCAAAAAAAAAAAAAAAAAAAACCUACGAAGUCAUUGAAAAAAUAGUAAAAAAUGGAUGAAAAAGGAUAGGAUAUAUUGAAAAAAAUGGCAAAAACUGAGUAAAGAUUGGCAAUUUCUAGUUGACCACUAACAGUUACUUUGAAACCAGAUAAACACAUGUUUUUAAUUUCAACUAGUCUCAUAACAUCUUUAUGACUAUAAUUCUAAUAAAUAUGAAUCUAUGAUAAUUCCGAUAUGGUUCUCAUAAUUUCUGGCCUAAUCAUUGAGAAACCUUUGAGAGGUUAUUUUAAAAGAUCACAGAGUAUUUUUAUGAAAAACCUAUGAACUUUUUCUGAAUGCAUUGGAAAGCCCUCAAAACCCUUACACUUGAUACUGUUUGGGUGUUCACUGAGAACAGUUGUAACCAUGAACCUCUAGUUCAAGAAAAGCUUCUCAAUUGGGGGUACUGGCACAUUGACUUCUGAUUGGGAAGAGAAAGGAUUCUUGAGGAUAAGGAUUACUUGUUCAUGAUUUUUAUGUUUUCUUGCCAUUGUAGGUACUUGAUAAAUCACAUCUUUUGGAUAAUAACCCAGAGUUUGAGAGCCCCUCCUCCUCCUCCCUUAAACUCAUCAUCUCUUGCUAACUUUCUCAAUUUGUCACAUAUACUGCACUUUAUCGUAUUAUAGAUUGUCUGAAUUGAGCUUUGUGUUUUUGUGAACUUCCUUUUUUGAUUGUGUGUUUUUCUGAAAAUUUUCUUUGCAUAUAUGUCAGCCUUUUAUUUUUCUUAUGAUUUUCUGAUGUCUUCUUUUGAAGGUUUUUCUUUUCAUGAAACCUAUGUCACAUGGACUCAUGAAUUCCCAAAGCUUAGGGAAGAGGGACAUAGUUAAAUAAUUCAAUAUUCCUUAUGGCUCGUUUGAUACUAGCCAACUCAAAGUAUAUGAUGAGGUAGAACUUUCAUGAUUCAUCCAACAAAGAGUCUAAAGUUGCUUAUAAUGAAGUAAGAAUUUGUUCUCCCUUUACUUCAUUGGAAUCCUUGCCCCAUAAUUGGGACAAAUGGUGCAACCCCCCAGCCCCCAACCAAUUCAAAAGAUAGAGGCAUUGGCUUAAAGGAAUGCCAAUAAGCUCUUUGGAAAAAAAUGUCUGAAGUGAAGUCAAAAAGCAAAAUCUAUCUUGCCUCAGUCUAAGUUCCAUCUGUAUCCUAGAAAAUUAUAGUAUUUGUCCCUCUCAAGAUUGUGGUUAGCUGUAUGCCAUAGGACUUGGCUCCUAGAACCCCUGCCAAAUUCUUUAAAAGAAUAAUAAUAAUAAUAACCAACAUGUCUAGAAUCUUUUCCUAGACUGCUGAUGCAGUGGCUUAAAUGAAAUCCUUGCUGUAACCUUGCUGCACAGCAUCCCCCACCCCCAAUGAGAUAUGGGAAAUAAAUUUCACCUCUACAAUUGUUCCCAGGCUUCAUCUUCCCCACCUUUGCUGCUGCCCAGUGGCAGUCACCUAUUGGAUGCCCUCCAGAGAAAAAAUAAACUGUCACAAGAAAGAAAGAAAGAACAACCAGCAUGUCUGGAAUCUCUUUCUUUGCCAUCCAGUGAAUGCCCAACAGAGGGAAACUGAACUGCCACAAAAGCACAUAGGAACAAAUGGUCAGCGGACUCCCUUCUAUCCUAGCACAGCACACAUCUGUUGGAGCUACUCGCCUUUAAGAUUAGCUAUCCCACUAGCAGGAAGCGAACGUACACAAGAACUGUAACUGUUCGGUUUUUACUCUUACCAAUAAUUGCUUUUUAUUUCCAAAUUACAUUCGGGUUAUGCCUGUGAUUUGCAAGCAUUUUUUCAGAGUACGCUUAUGAUAUGGAAUGAGGAUGUCUAUGUGAGGAGACUGUUAAGUCAUGAGAAGAGAAGUGUGAGUUGAGUUUAAUUUAGUUGUACAGAUUUUUGGCAUCCAAAUUCCAAUUGUUGUGCUUGUUCAACAUUGAAAGGUCAGUUUGGCUUAUGUAGCUUAACCUCUUCAAAUUUAUACAAGAAUGUCUGCCAUCA